This is a long non-coding RNA of Gymnodraco acuticeps, 238 nucleotides long. RefSeq lists it as uncharacterized. Lineage: Eukaryota; Metazoa; Chordata; Actinopteri; Perciformes; Bathydraconidae. The transcript is spliced from 2 exons. The record is from RefSeq and is a predicted model, not a curated record.
AAUAAAAGUUAAUAGAGAUGCCUCAAGUUGACUACUUUAACCAUCCCUGUUUCACUAUUUAUUAGCUAUCAAUGGUAGGAUCAGGAUCAGCAUCAGAGGCAACAAUGAAGAAGUGGCCACACACAACGAAGGGCCAGCUGGGUACAGCCAUCAACAACAAGCUGACAGAGCUCAGGGCUCGCCAAAAGCAGAUUAAAUAAUUGACAUUUAUUGACAAUAAAUGUAUGUUAAUGACUUA